GACGAACGCUGGCGGCGUGCUUAACACAUGCAAGUCGAACGGAAAGGCCCUGCUUUUGUGGGGUGCUCGAGUGGCGAACGGGUGAGUAACACGUGAGUAACCUGCCACUGACUUUGGGAUAACUUCAGGAAACUGGGGCUAAUACCGGAUAGGAGCUCCUGCUGCAUGGUGGGGGUUGGAAAGUUUCGGCGGUUGGGGAUGGACUCGCGGCUUAUCAGCUUGUUGGUGGGGUAGUGGCUUACCAAGGCUUUGACCGGUAGCCGGCCUGAGAGGGUGACCGGCCACAUUGGGCCUGGGAUGCGGCCCAGACUCCUACGGGAGGCAGCAGUGGGGAAUAUUGCACAAUGGGCGGAAGCCUAAUGCAGCAACGCCGCGUGCGGGAUGACGGCCAUCGGGUUGUAAACCGCAUUCGCCUGUGACGAAGCGUGAGUGACGGUAAUGGGUAAAGAAGCACCGGCUAACUACGUG
RNAcentral lists this ribosomal RNA (468 nucleotides) under uncultured bacterium. RNAcentral describes it as "partial 16S ribosomal RNA". It matches the Rfam family "Bacterial small subunit ribosomal RNA", at positions 28 to 507 of the family's 1533-position model. The record is from RNAcentral.